Arabidopsis thaliana (thale cress) is the source of this 424-nucleotide RNA transcript. RefSeq lists it as uncharacterized. Lineage: Eukaryota; Viridiplantae; Streptophyta; Magnoliopsida; Brassicales; Brassicaceae. The transcript has 2 exons. The record is from RefSeq.
UCUAAAACUCUGCUUUUUGUUUCUUAAUAUGUUAUUCCACUUGAAUAUCCAACUCAAAACUCUUUUUAGUUCUCUCACUUUCUCAGAGACAAACAUAAAGGCAUCAUCAUCGUAGAAGAGGCUGGAGAAAAAAGGAGGAAAAUGGAUUGUCACGGAAAUUGAAAUUCGUUCCAUUUGGAAGAUGGCGGUGGAACGAGAGAACGUUGAUUCGUUUAUGUAUAGUAAGUACGUGUCUUAGUCUAGAAUUUCCAUCUCUUGCUAAACUGGUGCAAGAGACUAGAUUACUACGUAUAUAGAUAGAGGGUAUGAAUGAUGCGUAGAUGUAUGUAUAGGGUUAUCAUGUGUGUAUAAGGUUAUUAUGUGUGUAUAGAUGUAUGUAUAAGGUAUGGAAGAGAUCAUGAAUGACGUGUAGAUGUAUGUAUAG